AUUGAACGCUGGCGGCAUGCCUUACACAUGCAAGUCGAACGGUAACAGGUCUUCGGAUGCUGACGAGUGGCGCACGGGUGAGUAAUACAUCGGAACGUGCCCGAUCGUGGGGGAUAACGAGGCGAAAGCUUUGCUAAUACCGCAUACGAUCUACGGAUGAAAGCGGGGGAUCUUCGGACCUCGCGCGGACGGAGCGGCCGAUGGCAGAUUAGGUAGUUGGUGGGAUAAAAGCUUACCAAGCCGACGAUCUGUAGCUGGUCUGAGAGGAUGAUCAGCCACACUGGGACUGAGACACGGCCCAGACUCCUACGGGAGGCAGCAGUGGGGAAUUUUGGACAAUGGGCGAAAGCCUGAUCCAGCCAUGCCGCGUGCAGGAUGAAGGCCUUCGGGUUGUAAACUGCUUUUGUACGGAACGAAAAGCCUCUUUCUAAUAAAGAGGGGUCAUGACGGUACCGUAAGAAUAAGCACCGGCUAACUACGU
This 481-nucleotide ribosomal RNA is filed under the name uncultured bacterium. RNAcentral describes it as "partial 16S ribosomal RNA". It matches the Rfam family "Bacterial small subunit ribosomal RNA", at positions 30 to 506 of the family's 1533-position model. The record is from RNAcentral.